RNAcentral lists this ribosomal RNA (237 nucleotides) under uncultured bacterium. RNAcentral describes it as "partial 16S ribosomal RNA". It matches the Rfam family "Bacterial small subunit ribosomal RNA", at positions 15 to 256 of the family's 1533-position model. The record is from RNAcentral.
GAUCAUGGCUCAGAUUGAACGCUGGCGGCAUGCUUUACACAUGCAAGUCGAACGGUAACAGGUCUUCGGACGCUGACGAGUGGCGAACGGGUGAGUAACACAUCGGAACGUGCCUAGUAGUGGGGGAUAACUACUCGAAAGAGUAGCUAAUACCGCAUGAGAUCCAAGGAUGAAAGCAGGGGACCUUCGGGCCUUGCGCUACUAGAGCGGCUGAUGGCAGAUUAGGUAGUUGGUGGG